This 444-nucleotide ribosomal RNA is filed under the name uncultured bacterium. RNAcentral describes it as "partial 16S ribosomal RNA". It matches the Rfam family "Bacterial small subunit ribosomal RNA", at positions 338 to 795 of the family's 1533-position model. The record is from RNAcentral.
CCUACGGGUGGCAGCAGUGGGGGAUAUUGCACAAUGGGGGAAACCCUGAUGCAGCGAUGCCGCGUGAAUGAAGAAGGUCUUCGGAUUGUAAAGUUCUUUAGUCAGGGAAGAAGUCAAUGACGGUACCUGAAGAAUAAGCUCCGGCUAACUACGUGCCAGCAGCCGCGGUAAUACGUAGGGAGCAAGCGUUGUUCGGAAUGACUGGGCGUAAAGGGUGCGUAGGCGGUUGUACAAGUUAGAAGUGAAAUACCCAGGGCUUAACUCGGGUGCUGCUUCUAAAACUGUAUGACUUGAGUGCAGUAGAGGUUAGUGGAAUUCCUAGUGUAGCGGUGGAAUGCGUAGAUAUUAGGAGGAACACCAGAGGCGAAGGCGGCUAACUGGACUGCAACUGACGCUGAGGCACGAAAGUGUGGGGAGCAAACAGGAUUAGAUACCCUUGUAGUC